UAUGGAGAAGCUCAGCAGUGGCUGUCU
Molecule: small RNA, 27 nt
Filed under: Bombyx mori (domestic silkworm)
Lineage: Eukaryota; Metazoa; Arthropoda; Insecta; Lepidoptera; Bombycidae
Description: ovarian small RNA-23957
Source: RNAcentral